This is a non-coding RNA of Picea glauca (white spruce), 44 nucleotides long. The record is from Rfam. Lineage: Eukaryota; Viridiplantae; Streptophyta; Pinopsida; Pinales; Pinaceae.
UUAAUGGUUCUUAGAACCACAUAUUAUUUCUAUAAAAAUAUUAU